RNAcentral lists this long non-coding RNA (564 nucleotides) under Pongo abelii (Sumatran orangutan). RNAcentral describes it as "lincRNA". The record is from RNAcentral. Lineage: Eukaryota; Metazoa; Chordata; Mammalia; Primates; Hominidae.
GUAUGGUGCUGGGUGCAGAUGCAAUGUGGCUCUGGAUAGCACCUUAUGGACAGUUGUGUCCCAAAGGAAGGAUGAGAAUAGCUACUGAAGUCCUAAAGAGCAAGCCUAACUCAAGCCAUUGGCACACCGGCAUUAGACAGAAAACUGGAAGUUGAAAUGGUGGAGUCCAACUUGUCUGGACCAGCUUAAUGGUUCUGCUCCUGGUAACGUUUUUAUCCACGGAUGGCUUGCUUGGGUAUGGAGAGUCGGCUUGACUACACUGUGUGGAGCAAGUUUUAAAGAAGCAAAGGACUCAGAAUUCAUGCUUGAAGAAAUGCAGGCAGACCUGUUAUCCUAAACUAGGGUUUUUAAUGACCACGACAAGCAAGCAUGCAGCUUACUGCUUGAAAGGGUCUUGCCUCACCCAAGCUGGAGUGCAGUGGCCUCUGAAGCUUACUACAGCCUCAAACUUCUGGGCUCAAGUGAUCCUCAGCCUCCCAAUGGUCUUUGUAGACUGCCUGAUGGAGUCUCAUGGCACAAGAAGAUUAAAACAAUGCUCCAAUUUUAAUAAAUUUUUGCAAUCCA